GCUCCAGCCAUGCCGCGUGUGUGAAGAAGGCUUUCGGGUUGUAAAGCACUUUCAGCGAGGAAGAAAGCCUCUGGAUUAAUACCCCAGAGGAAGGACAUCACUCGCAGAAGAAGCACCGGCUAACUCCGUGCCAGCAGCCGCGGUAAUACGGAGGGUGCGAGCGUUAAUCGGAAUUACUGGGCGUAAAGCGCGCGUAGGUGGCUUGGCACGCCGGUUGUGAAAGCCCCGGGCUCAACCUGGGAACGGCAUCCGGAACGGCCAGGCUAGAGUGCAGGAGAGGAAGGUAGAAUUCCCGGUGUAGCGGUGAAAUGCGUAGAGAUCGGGAGGAAUACCAGUGGCGAAGGCGGCCUUCUGGCCUGACACUGACACUGAGGUGCGAAAGCGUGGGUAGCAAACAGGAUUAGAUACCCUGGUAGUCCACGCCGUAAACGAUGUCGACUAGCCGUUGGGACCUUUAAGGACUUAGUGGCGCAGUUAACGCGAUAAGUCGACCGCCUGGGGAGUACGGCCGCAAGGUUAAAACUCAAAUGAAUUGACGGGGGCCCGCACAAGCGGUGGAGCAUGUGGUUUAAUUCGAUGCAACGCGAAGAACCUUACCUACCCUUGACAUCCAGAGAAGUUGGCAGAGAUGCCUUCGUGCCUUCGGGAACUCUGAGACAGGUGCUGCAUGGCUGUCGUCAGCUCGUGUUGUGAAAUGUUGGGUUAAGUCCCGUAACGAGCGCAACCCUUGUCCUUAUUUGCCAGCGAGUAAUGUCGGGAACUCUAAGGAGACUGCCGGUGACAAACCGGAGGAAGGUGGGGACGACGUCAAGUCAUCAUGGCCCUUACGGGUAGGGCUACACACGUGCUACAAUGG
This 856-nucleotide ribosomal RNA is filed under the name Halomonas sp. W1-1. RNAcentral describes it as "bacterial SSU rRNA". It matches the Rfam family "Bacterial small subunit ribosomal RNA", at positions 385 to 1233 of the family's 1533-position model. The record is from RNAcentral. Lineage: Bacteria; Pseudomonadati; Pseudomonadota; Gammaproteobacteria; Oceanospirillales; Halomonadaceae.